This 429-nucleotide ribosomal RNA is filed under the name bacterium. Its description in RNAcentral is "partial 16S ribosomal RNA". It matches the Rfam family "Bacterial small subunit ribosomal RNA", at positions 355 to 776 of the family's 1533-position model. The record is from RNAcentral.
UAGGGAAUCUUCCACAAUGGACGCAAGUCUGAUGGAGCAACGCCGCGUGAGUGAAGAAGGUUUUCGGAUCGUAAAGCUCUGUUGUUGGUGAAGAAGGAUAGAGGCAGUAACUGGUCUUUAUUUGACGGUAAUCAACCAGAAAGUCACGGCUAACUACGUGCCAGCAGCCGAGGUAAUACGUAGGUGGCAAGCGUUGUCCGGAUUUAUUGGGCGUAAAGCGAGCGCAGGCGGAAUGAUAAGUCUGAUGUGAAAGCCCACGGCUCAACCGUGGAACUGCAUCGGAAACUGUCAUUCUUGAGUGCAGAAGCAGAGAGUGGAAUUCCAUGUGUAGCGGUGGAAUGCGUAGAUAUAUGGAAGAACACCAGUGGCGAAGGCGGCUCUCUGGUCUGCAACUGACGCUGAGGCUCGAAAGCAUGGGUAGCGAACAGG